Molecule: ribosomal RNA, 433 nt
Filed under: uncultured bacterium
Lineage: Bacteria
Description: partial 16S ribosomal RNA
Rfam family: Bacterial small subunit ribosomal RNA
Source: RNAcentral
AACGAACGCUGGCGGCAUGCCUAACACAUGCAAGUCGAACGAGACCUUCGGGUCUAGUGGCGCACGGGUGCGUAACGCGUGGGAACCUGCCCUUAGGUUCGGAAUAACUCCCCGAAAGGGGUGCUAAUACCGGAUAAUGUCUUCGGACCAAAGAUUUAUCGCCUUUGGAUGGGCCCGCGUUGGAUUAGCUAGUUGGUAGGGUAAAAGCCUACCAAGGCGACGAUCCAUAGCUGGUCUGAGAGGAUGAUCAGCCACACUGGGACUGAGACACGGCCCAGACUCCUACGGGAGGCAGCAGUGGGGAAUAUUGGACAAUGGGCGAAAGCCUGAUCCAGCAAUGCCGCGUGAGUGAUGAAGGCCUUAGGGUUGUAAAGCUCUUUUACCCGGGAUGAUCAUGACAGUACCGGGAGAAUAAGCUCCGGCUAACUCCGUG